Long non-coding RNA from Oncorhynchus nerka (sockeye salmon), 620 nucleotides. RefSeq lists it as uncharacterized. The record is from RefSeq and is a predicted model, not a curated record. NCBI's taxonomy places the organism in Eukaryota, Metazoa, Chordata, Actinopteri, Salmoniformes, Salmonidae. The transcript has 3 exons.
CCAGGUUAAUAUUCCAGUCGAUGGUCAGUUGCCAUAUAAACCACACAUCUAAUCCCAGGUUAAUAUUCCAGUCGAUGGUCAGUUGCCAUAUAAACCACACAUCUAAUCCCUAGGUUAAUAUUCCAGUCGAUGGCCAGUUGCCAUAUAAACCACCCAUCUAAUCCCAGGUUAAUAUUCCAGUCGAUGGUCAGUUGCCAUAUAAACCACACAUCUAAUCCCUAGGUUAAUAUUCCAGUCGAUGGCCAGUUGCCAUAUAAACCACACAUCUAAUCCCAGGUUAAUAUUCCCGUCGAUGGUCAGUUGCCAUAUAAACCACACAUCUGUAUUUAUAUCCAUGUGUGUGUGUUGUCCAGCCCAGUAAAAGACAUCCAUGAUAUUCUGGACCUGACCGUCUUUGAUGAGGAUGGAGACAAAGCACCUGACUUCCUGGGCAAAGUGGCCAUUCCUCUGCUUUCUAUCCACAAUGGUCAACCGAUCUGCUGUCCCCUGAAGAAAGAGGAUCUGGGGUGUCUGUCUAAAGGAAGCAUCUCCCUAGAGCUGGAGCUCGUCUUCAACCCAGUCAGAGCAGCUAUCAGAACAUUUAAACCAAGGAGAAGAAAUUCAUGGAAGACAAUCCCAAG